UUGGCUUCCUUGUUUUCGUCCUUCUGAUCCACAGCUACAUUGCGGCUCCUUGUGAGUUUUGAAGUUAGUUUGCUGAACAGGUUAGUGGAACCCCUGGUUCGAGUCUGAGAGAGCGGCGUUGCCUCGUGGGACAGGCUGGGGGAGGCCGGGGGCCCGUUGUAGGUAGCGGUGCGUCGCUCGCGGAGCUGGCCGUGGAAGGUGCUCCGGCUGGCCGUUCCUCUGGGGAAACGAAUACGGUCAGGUGUGGUUGCACUGCUU
Molecule: long non-coding RNA, 258 nt
Filed under: Gallus gallus (chicken)
Lineage: Eukaryota; Metazoa; Chordata; Aves; Galliformes; Phasianidae
Source: RNAcentral